GCACAAGCGGUGGAGCAUGUGGUUUAAUUCGAUGCAACGCGAAGAACCUUACCUGGUCUUGACAUCCACGGAAGUUUUCAGAGAUGAGAAUGUGCCUUCGGGAACCGUGAGACAGGUACUGCAUGGCUGUCGUCAGCUCGUGUUGUGAAAUGUUGGGUUAAGUCCCGCAACGAGCGCAACCCUUAUCCUUUGUUGCCAGCGGUCCGGCCGGGAACUCAAAGGAGACUGCCAGUGAUAAACUGGAGGAAGGUGGGGAUGACGUCAAGUCAUCAUGGCCCUUACGACCAGGGCUACACACGUGCUACAAUGGCGCAUACAAAGAGAAGCGACCUCGCGAGAGCAAGCGGACCUCAUAAAGUGCGUCGUAGUCCGGAUUGGAGUCUGCAACUCGACUCCAUGAAGUCGGAAUCGCUAGUAAUCGUGGAUCAGAAUGCCACGGUGAAUACGUUCCCGGGC
RNAcentral lists this ribosomal RNA (456 nucleotides) under uncultured bacterium. Its description in RNAcentral is "bacterial SSU rRNA". It matches the Rfam family "Bacterial small subunit ribosomal RNA", at positions 923 to 1379 of the family's 1533-position model. The record is from RNAcentral.